This 497-nucleotide ribosomal RNA is filed under the name uncultured bacterium. RNAcentral describes it as "partial 16S ribosomal RNA". It matches the Rfam family "Bacterial small subunit ribosomal RNA", at positions 28 to 507 of the family's 1533-position model. The record is from RNAcentral.
GACGAACGCUGGCGGCGUGCCUAAUACAUGCAAGUUGAGCGCUGAAGGUUGGUACUUGUACCAACUGGAUGAGCAGCGAACGGGUGAGUAACGCGUGGGGAAUCUGCCUUUGAGCGGGGGACAACAUUUGGAGACGAAUGCUAAUACCGCAUAAAAACUUUAAACACAAGUUUUAAGUUUGAAAGAUGCAAUUGCAUCACUCAAAGAUGAUCCCGCGUUGUAUUAGCUAGUUGGUGAGGUAAAGGCUCACCAAGGCGAUGAUACAUAGCCGACCUGAGAGGGUGAUCGGCCACAUUGGGACUGAGACACGGCCCAAACUCCUACGGGAGGCAGCAGUAGGGAAUCUUCGGCAAUGGACGAAAGUCUGACCGAGCAACGCCGCGUGAGUGAAGAAGGUUGUCGGAUCGUAAAACUCUGUUGGUAGAGAAGAACGUUGGUGAGAGUGGAAAGCUCAUCAAGUGACGGUAACUACCCAGAAAGGGACGGCUAACUACGUG